This 301-nucleotide ribosomal RNA is filed under the name uncultured bacterium. Its description in RNAcentral is "partial 16S ribosomal RNA". It matches the Rfam family "Bacterial small subunit ribosomal RNA", at positions 509 to 807 of the family's 1533-position model. The record is from RNAcentral.
CAGUAGCCGCGGUAACACGUAGGUGGCAAGCGUUGUCCGGAAUUAUUGGGCGUAAAGGGCUCGCAGGCGGUUUCUUAAGUCUGAUGUGAAAGCCCCCGGCUCAACCGGGGAGGGUCAUUGGAAACUGGGAAACUUGAGUGCAGAAGGGGAGAGUGGAAUUCCACGUGUAGCGGUGAAAUGCGUAGAGAUGUGGAGGAACACCAGUGGCGAAGGCGACUCUCUGGUCUGUAACUGACGCUGAGGAGCGAAAGCGUGGGGAGCGAACAGGAUUAGAUACCCGAGUAGUCCCUGUCUCUUAUAC